RNAcentral lists this long non-coding RNA (3344 nucleotides) under Gossypium barbadense (sea-island cotton). Its description in RNAcentral is "long non-coding RNA (GBAR_LNC011690)". Lineage: Eukaryota; Viridiplantae; Streptophyta; Magnoliopsida; Malvales; Malvaceae. The record is from RNAcentral.
UCAGAUUAAAGUUUGGUUGGCCCAAUCGGACUGGCCCGUUGCUUGAAGAGAUUGAAGGUUCAUCUAUAAAUAUGGAAACAUGAUCUUAAAAGAUAUGAUUUUAUAAUCUUAGAGAUCUUAGAUAUGAUAUGAUAUUAUAUUAUAGUCUUAGAGAUCUUAGAUAUGAUAUGAAAUCUUAUAAGAUAUUAUUUUAUAUUCUUAGAAAUCUUAGAUAUGAUACGUAAUCUUAGAAGAUAUGAUUUUAUAUUCUUAGAGAUUUGAUUUGUAGAUACCCUUUAAUCAUAGCCAUUGAUGUACUUGAUUUGUAUCGUUAGAUUUGGAGAGGCUUAACUAUAAAUAGAGGCCUCUCCCCUCAUUUGUAGGGGACUCCAUUCAUUGUUUCAUUAUUUCUUGUGAAUAAGAGAAUAGAGAGCAUUUACUCAAACACUUUGCGAACGUCUCUUUCUAUUGUUCUUUUAAGCUUCUUUUGGUAUAAGUUUGCUUCCGCUGUACGAGUUGGUACCUUGGAGGAGUUCUUAAGGAACCCUCAUUCGAGUAAAGGCUGACUUGGGCGAGUUUGGACGAGUAAAUCUCCUAAGGCCGCACGGAUUGCGAGACUAAAGGUCUAGCCCCGUGACAAGUGGUACCAGAGCUGUUGGUUCGAAGGCACUGUUGGGAUGUCGAAAGAAGAAUUCGAACAAAUAUGGGCGAGAAAGUCUUUGAGGGAGAUGUUGUCGGCAGUAGAGGUACGCGUGGGUAAACUUGAGGAGUCCAUGGAGGACGUUAAAGAGUCUGACAAUGCUCGUGGGGAAAGCAUUAAAGACAUGAAGGAACAGUUUAGGGACUUUGUGACCACGUGUCUAACUUCCCAAAGGGAUAACGUGCAAGAGUUGCUAGAUUCCCAAAGGAAGAAGCUGACAGAGAGGAACAAUACUCUCGAAGCCAUGGUGAAGGCUUUGAAGGAGGAAACAAUGGCCACAACGCUAGCUUUAAACACAAGAAUAAAGGAGCUCGAGGGAGAGCUGGCCUUGUGUCGAGCAGCAGUGGGGGAAGGAGUGUCAAGUGCAGCACUCAGUAGCGAGUAUGUCCCGAAGCUGAAAGACUUUGUGGGGACAAGGUCUACAUGUGAUGUGGACAAUUUCUUGUGGAGGAUGGAAAACUACUUCCGUGCCAAAGGUAUCGUGGAUGAUGCGGGUAAGGUACAAACUACUUCAUUAUUUCUUACUGAUAUUGCGCUUUUAUGGUGGCGAGGUAGGACCACAGAUAAAAGGCAAGGUGAGAUUGGAACAUGAGAGAAGUUCCAAUGUGAGUUGAAGGGAUAGUUUUACCCGGAGUUUGCCGAGGAAGAAGCUCGGGCAAAGUUGCAAGGGAUAACGCAACGGGGCACAGUGGGGGAGUAUGUUCGUGAGUUCAAGGAACUCAUGCUCCAAGUUUCAGAUGUGACCGAGAGAGAAGUAAUGCUUGCUUUUCUAGAGGGAUUGAAGCCGUGGGUCAGACAGGAGGUGGAACAAAGAGGUGUCCAAAAGCUGUCGGAAGCCAUGAAGGUAGAGGUAUCCAUGGUUAAGCUUGGUCUAGGGAAAGACAAGCUUGGAUCUUCCAAGUCCGAGGGAAGGGGCGUAUGUGAAGGGAAUCACAAGGAAGAUACGAAUGAGUAUGGCAAUGGCAACGGCAACAAUGGCGGUAAUAGGAAACCACGAGUUGGGAAGAAGAAACCCAAGAGGAAAAGGGACAAGCUGAAAUGCUUUCUCUGCGAUGAUCCACACAUGUUAAAGAAGUGUCCAAUAAAAUCCACGCUUAGGAAGAAGCCGGUGAGUAAGGCCUUGGGACUUGGCUCGAGCGCAAGGGGUGUCGAAGCCAAGGAGGCCGAAAGCGAGAAGAAGCCAGUCGAGUGCUUCUUAUGUCAUGGUCCGCAUAAGUUGUGGAAGUGUCCGAGGAAGUCUGUUAUCGAUGGGAAUGAUCGAGCAGAUAUGGAGCCCAGGAAGCUUGGUUCGAGCAAAAGAAAAGCCGAAGCCAAGAGGGCAAAGAGGAGUUUGUCUGUCAUCGAAUGGAACGAUGGAUCAGACAAGGAGCCCAAGAAGCUUGGUUCGAGCAAGGGUAAAGCCGAAGCCAAGAGGGCUAAAAGGAGCAAAAAGAAGCGAGUAAAGUGCUUCUUGUGCCGUGGUCCGCAUGAGUUGCGGAACUGUCCAAAGCAAGCCGUAGUCAAAGGAAAGGCAACGUCCGAGCAUAGUGAGUCGUCGGAGAGGCUUUCACCUAGGGGAGAGGUGAGUUUGUCAUCAAACUUAGAGGAAGAAGUUGCGAUGAAAACAGUGAAGCUGGGACCAAUGAGGCUCGAAUCGAGUGAAGCGUCGGAGUUGGCCGAGUCAUCGACAAGGCUUCCACCUAUGAGAGAGGUGGGUGGUGCAUCAGACUUCAAGGAAAAAGAAGUGAUGCAUGUGGGACAGUUGACCCGAGUAAAUGCAAAGGUACAUUCGAAACACUCUGAUAGUGUUUUGCAUUCUAACUUGUGUACUUGGCGAGAACGUAGGGGCCCUUACAAAGUCCUUGAACAAGAUGGCCGAGAGACUGUGGGUAAAGCGAAGCCAAGUGUUGUGAAUCAUGAGGAUUCUGUUCGAGGGAAGCUAGAAUGUGGGCAAGGGAGUGACAUAACUCCUUGUCGUCGAGAUGUACAAACGAGUAGGAUAGCUCGAGUUAAGAAACGACGGAAGCCGAGGCAAAAGUCCCGAAGGAAGGGAAGAGCUAAGGCAAUGAGUGGGAUCCAAGACGAAUCAAGUCAGUGCCAUUCAGGAGUCGCAACGAGGACGUUGCGAGAAUGGGUGGGGAAGAAUGUCACGGGCCAGAGUUCAAAGCCCGUGACCAUCGAGCCAAAUGCAUCCGAUGGAGGUCUAUUACUCAGAUGGGGAUCAUUUGGCCCACGUGAGCUGGCCCGAUUCAAGGAACUGUUGGAGAAGCCUGUCAGAUUAAAGUCUGGUUGGCCCAAUCGGACUGGCCCGUUGCUUGAAGAGAUUGAAGGUCCAUUUACAAAUAUGGAAAUAUGAUCUUAAAAGAUAUGAUUUUAUAAUCUUAGAGAUCUUAGAUAUGAUAUGGAAUCUUAUAAGAUAUUAUAUUAUAAUCUUAGAGAUCUUAGAUAUGAUAUGAUAUUAUAUUAUAAUCUUAAAGAUCUUAGAUAUGAUAUGAAAUCUUAUAAGAUAUUAUUUUAUAUUCUUAGAGAUCUUAGAUAUGAUAUGUAAUCUUAGAAGAUAUGAUUUUAUAUUCUUAGAGAUUUGAUUUGUAGAUACCCUUUAAUCAUAGCCAUUGAUGUACUUGAUUUGUACCGUUGGAUUUGGAGAGGCUCAACUAUAAAUAGAGGCCUCUCCCCUCAUUUGUAG